UACGUAGGGGGCAAGCGUUGUCCGGAUUUAUUGGGCGUAAAGAGCGUGUAGGCGGCCAGACAGGUCCGUUGUGAAAACUCGAGGCUCAACCUCGAGAUGUCGAUGGAAACCGUCUGGCUAGAGUCCGGAAGAGGAGUGUGGAAUUCCUGGUGUAGCGGUGAAAUGCGCAGAUAUCAGGAAGAACACCUAUGGCGAAGGCAGCACUCUGGCCCGGUACUGACGCUGAGGUGCGAAAGCGUGGGGAGCAAACAGG
Molecule: ribosomal RNA, 253 nt
Filed under: uncultured bacterium
Lineage: Bacteria
Description: partial 16S ribosomal RNA
Rfam family: Bacterial small subunit ribosomal RNA
Source: RNAcentral